Molecule: unclassified non-coding RNA, 1249 nt
Filed under: Hevea brasiliensis (rubber tree)
Lineage: Eukaryota; Viridiplantae; Streptophyta; Magnoliopsida; Malpighiales; Euphorbiaceae
Source: RNAcentral
AAGUGUGUACAAUGGAGGAAUUGCGUAAAAGAUUGUAUUCUUGUCAAUUUUAGAAGUCCUUCCACCGGACAAAGCCACGAGCGCAGCAACAAGACCUGCAUUUCCUGCAAUGGUUGGCUCUGUGUAAUUGUAAUUGGCACGCAUAUCCUGGAAGCCGUCAUGUUGGUCAGGGCCCCCAACCAUGGCUCCAACAAUGGUAUUUGGAUUUGUUCUUCGACUGUCUCUCCAUUUCCACCCUCCUCUACAGCCAUACUUUACCUUUCCGUAUGGAAUUGAAGCUCCUCUAUGAUGUACUCGCUGUGGAAAAUAAUUGCCAUAGCCUACGAUGUAGCUCAUAGCCCGAGGAUUUUUACCAAGGAUGUAAUCAAUCUGGCUUCUUGCGAAGUCGCGCAAAGCUUCGUUCGUGUAAAAUUCAGGUCCGCAUUGCCAUCCUGAUAUCAAUUCACCUUCAAGAUAAUCACUGUAAAGGGUAGCCGAGAAAGCUGCAUUCACCACGUAUUGAAGAGGCUGGGGUCUUCCCUGGUUUAGUUGGAUCAUUCCUCCUUUGGUUCGGUUGAAGGUUGGGAAAACGGGUAGGUAUGAGCACAUGAUAUCAUCUAUAUUGUUUUGAAAUGUUCGCAGCAUUUCUUCAUAUGGGUAGCCGUAACCCAAAAAAAUUCUCAUACGGCUUAGAAGCAACUGAGCGCCAGCAUGCUUGUUGUCCCAGCUAAGCACCCCCUUACUAGGGCCUCCCCAGAAAGCAUAGUCUUUUUUGGCCAAUUUAGGUGUGGUAGCAAGUUGAAGGUAGGAAGAAUUUCCAGUUGCACAGUACAGCCAAGCUCCACCCCAAACAAACUCAUCCCAAAAACCACUAGAAUUAUAAAAAUGUGAGGGUGGAUCUGGAGUGCCUGAAUAGUUUUCACCUUGACCUUUCGUGGCAAACUUGAACAGUAUUUCUGCACCAUGGACAAGUUUCUUCGAGUAGUCUUCAGUGUCCUUGAACACAAUGGAUGCAGCAGCUAAUGCAGCAGCAGCUUCUGCAGCCAAUGCUGGACAGUUGUAACAUUGGUUUGCGCUACGGUGUUUUUUAUCAUCGAAGUCAAUAUCCUCAGGUCGCAUCCAACAAUAUUGAUCACGUUCUCCUCCAACUUGUGCAGCAAUACUGGUUAUUGAGUCCUUGGAUGAGGAAUUGAAGGUUUUGAGAAGGUAGUCAGUGCCCCACUUGAUGAUGUCUUUGACGUGAUCUAGCUCUCCAGCAGCUUCAUAUUUU